Molecule: small nuclear RNA, 95 nt
Filed under: Marmota marmota marmota (Alpine marmot)
Lineage: Eukaryota; Metazoa; Chordata; Mammalia; Rodentia; Sciuridae
Source: RNAcentral
GUGCUCACUUCAGCAGCACAGAUACUAAAACUGGAACGACACAGGGAAGACUAGCAUGGCCCCUGCUCAAGGACGACAUUCCAUUUUUUUUUUUU